This 817-nucleotide ribosomal RNA is filed under the name uncultured archaeon. Its description in RNAcentral is "bacterial SSU rRNA". It matches the Rfam family "Archaeal small subunit ribosomal RNA", at positions 1 to 802 of the family's 1478-position model. The record is from RNAcentral.
UUCCGGUUGAUCCUGCCGGAGGGAACCCCUAUCGGGUUCAGACUAAGCCACGCGAGUCGGCUGGGGGCACUUGCCCCUGGCGGCGCACGGCUCAGUAAUACGCGGUCAACCUACCCUGGGGACCGGGAUAACCUCGGGAAACUGAGGCUAAUCCCGGAUGGGUGUAGGGUGCUGAAAUGCCCCUACGCCGAAAGUAGGCGGGAAAUGGACCGCUGAGGCCCCAGGAUGGGACCGCGGCCUAUCAGGUAGUAGGUGGGGUAACGGCCCACCUAGCCUACGACGGGUACGGGCCCUGAGAGGGGGAGCCCGGAGAUGGGCACUGAGACAAGGGUCUAGGCCCUAAGGGGCGCAGCAGGCGCGAAGAUUCCGCAAUGCCCGAAAGGGCGACGGAGUGAACCCGAGUGCCACCCGCUGAGGGUGGCUGUUCCCCUGUGUAAAAAGCAGGGGGUAGGAAGGGGAGGGCAAGGCUGGUGGCAGCCGCCGCGGUAAAACCAGCUCCCCGAGGGGUUCCCACGCAUACUGGGCCUAAAGCGUCCGUAGCCGGCCCUGUAAGUCCGCAGUUAAAUCCGCCUGUAGACAGGCGGGCUGCUGCGGAUACUGCAGGGCUAGGGAGCGGGAGGAGCCGGGGGUAUUCCCGGGGGAGCGGUAAAAUGCGUAGAUCCCGGGAGGACCACCAGUGGCGAAGGCGCCCGGCUUGAACGCGUCCGACGGUGAGGGACGAAAGCUGGGGGAGCAAACCGGAUUAGAUACCCGGGUAGUCCCAGCCGUAAACGAUGCCGGCUAGGUGCUGGCCAAGGUUUCGACCUUGGCCAGUGUC